This 465-nucleotide ribosomal RNA is filed under the name Vreelandella stevensii. Its description in RNAcentral is "partial 16S ribosomal RNA". It matches the Rfam family "Bacterial small subunit ribosomal RNA", at positions 338 to 795 of the family's 1533-position model. The record is from RNAcentral. Lineage: Bacteria; Pseudomonadati; Pseudomonadota; Gammaproteobacteria; Oceanospirillales; Halomonadaceae.
CCUACGGGGGGCUGCAGUGGGGAAUAUUGGACGAUGGGGGGAACCCUGAUCCAGCCAUGCCGCGUGUGUGAAGAAGGCCCUCGGGUUGUAAAGCACUUUCAGUGAGGAAGAACGCCUGGUGGUUAAUACCCAUCAGGAAAGACAUCACUCACAGAAGAAGCACCGGCUAACUCCGUGCCAGCAGCCGCGGUAAUACGGAGGGUGCGAGCGUUAAUCGGAAUUACUGGGCGUAAAGCGCGCGUAGGUGGCUUGAUAAGCCGGUUGUGAAAGCCCCGGGCUCAACCUGGGAACGGCAUCCGGAACUGUCAAGCUAGAGUGCAGGAGAGGAAGGUAGAAUUCCCGGUGUAGCGGUGAAAUGCGUAGAGAGCGGGAGGAAUACCAGUGGCGAAGGCGGCCUUCUGGACUGACACUGACACUGAGGUGCGAAAGCGUGGGUAGCAAACAGGAUUAGAUACCCCGGUAGUC